Thunnus maccoyii (southern bluefin tuna) is the source of this 1611-nucleotide long non-coding RNA. RefSeq lists it as uncharacterized. Lineage: Eukaryota; Metazoa; Chordata; Actinopteri; Scombriformes; Scombridae. The record is from RefSeq and is a predicted model, not a curated record. The transcript has 6 exons.
GUCAAUGGUAUUGAUUCGCUUUUGGAGCCAGUCAAGUGGCCAUUCAAGGAACUGCGGUUUUUGGCUCUUCUGCAUUGGUUACACUCUUCAGCCCCACAGGUUGCUGUUUGGUCUCACCACAAAAAGUGGAACAUUUAGAGCAAUGUGCUCUUUGGGACAGUGUGACAGCCUCUCUGCUUUGCUUGCUGCUGCUGUGCUUUGUUUGCAGGGGAAAGGAACCUGAGGCCAGGCUGAUUAGCAGAAUGGACACACCUGGGCCCAGUGUGCCCCAUGCAUAAAGCCGGAGAAUCUGCCAGUUCAGACUCUCUCUUCUCUCCCCCACAAACUCCUGCAUUGUUUAGUUAUUUUCCUUUGUUCCACCCUACAACACCUAUACAGCAUACACUCACUCAUCCACCCCCUACAUUACUGACCUUACAGACUCACCCCACCAAUUUGUUAUUCUGGUUUGUUUUGAGUACUUUAUUUUAAAUAAAUAUACUUUAAUAUAUGGAAUAUCCAUGUGACUUCCCCCUUUUUGCCAUAGCUGUGCACUUGAGAGAGCUCCUGUUGGACUUUGGCUGACAGCUGCCUUGGUUAGGGAGAGGCGCGUCCAUGGGUUCAUGCGCAUGUGGUGUUGAGAAAGGCACUUCCGGUGGAAACUCCAGGUGCCGGAUAAGCUGUCACGUUACCGUUGUUUACCCUGAUCAGCAGAACACUUGCAGGUCUGAGACCACAACCUACAGCACCAUCUACAGCACUGCUGGUGAUGAAUUCUUCAAACAAUUUGUUGCCAAUAAUGACGAGACCUUCACACAGAAAGAAGUGUUUCGGCUGGCCAAGCAGAUCCUGACUGGAGUGGCCUUCCUGCAUUGAAACAAUCCUCAGACUGACCAGUGCCAAACCUCUGGGGGACAUUCGUUUUGUGGACUUUGGCUUGUCUCGAUGCAAGGACAAUAUCACAGAAGUCAGGGAAAUUCUGGGCACCCCAGAGUAUGUGGGAAGAGAGCCACGGCAGAAGAAUGCCUUAGCCAUGCCUGACUGAACCUGCUCCCCCAUCCCCACUCCCACUUGCACCUCCACACCAGGUCAUAUUCGGAUGAACCGGAGAUGAGCCAGUCAGAAUCGGAGCCUGAGAGCCCGGCUCCCUCCCCUGAGAUGGACUUGAUCGGAUCGUACCUCAUGUGCGCAGACCAGGGUGAGCUGAAGACUGGCUGUGAGACCUUCUCCUUUAGUGAGCCCCCCUUGCCAUGUGACCUGAGAUACAACAGGAGCUGAUCUGCUGAACGAUGAUUCACAGGUGGAGAGAGACUGAGGACACUUAAAGUCUAUGGUGCAGAUGCUGAAAGCCAGUGAGCCUUCAGCUUCUCGGUCUUGACUCAGGGCCGUGGCUGCUAUAUGGAUGCUGUAUGCCUGCUUCUGGCUGCUUCUACUGCUGUAAUGUCUCUGAGCUGGGCUGUGUGUGGUUUGAUACCUCUGUGUGUGUGUGUGUAUGUUGUGAAAAGGAAUGUGAAAGGAAUGAACAUGCAGGAGAAAAAAGUGGGAGAAAACCCAGCAAUCGACCACAAGGGUUUUGUCACAGGACUGCACUGCUGCCUUAAAAGUGACUGAAAUAAACUGGAGUCGGCUUAA